Molecule: unclassified non-coding RNA, 221 nt
Filed under: Hevea brasiliensis (rubber tree)
Lineage: Eukaryota; Viridiplantae; Streptophyta; Magnoliopsida; Malpighiales; Euphorbiaceae
Source: RNAcentral
CAAUAUUGCGUCUCCGCUCCUAGCACGAGACUCACCUGAUCCGCCAGCUCCCUUUCUCUGGUAUAUAUAAACAUGACUGUCAACUCCAUCCAAGAGACUCAAGGUCGAGUCUCUGAUCUUGGAAUUCAAGAGAAAUCCAAGGAUUUCUCUUUGCCGGAGAUCAUAGCUACUGAAUCUGCUCAUCUCUCCAGGAAAAUGGGAGUGAAGGACUGUACCGAGGG